GCUAGCGGCAGCUUAACACAUGCAAGUCGAACGGUAACUUUUGGUGCUUGCACCGAAAGACGAGUGGCGGACGGGUGCGUAACGCGUAUGCAAUCUACCUUUUACUAGGGUAUAGCCCAGAGAAAUUUGGAUUAAUCCCCUAUAAUAUCAAAAUUCCGCAUGGUUUUUUGAUUAAAGCUUCGGUGGUAAAAGAUGAGCAUGCGUCCUAUUAGUUUGUAGGUGAGGUAACGGCUCACCUAGACUACGAUAGGUAGGGGCCCUGAGAGGGGGAUCCCCCACACUGGUACUGAGACACGGACCAGACUCCUACGGGAGGCAGCAGUGAGGAAUAUUGGACAAUGGACGAAAGUCUGAUCCAGCUAUGCCGCGUGCAGGAUGACAGCCCUACGGGUUGUAAACUGCUUUUAUACAGGAAGAAAAACUCCGACGUGUCGGGGCUUGACGGUACUGUAAGAAUAAGGAUCGGCUAACUCCGUGCCAGCAGCCGCGGUAAUACGGAGGAUCCAAGCGUUAUCCGGAAUUAUUGGGUUUAAAGGGUCCGCAGGCUGUUUUUUAAGUCAGAGGUGAAAUCCUGCAGCUCAACUGUAGAAUUGCCUUUGAAACUGAAAGACUUGAGUUAUUGUGAAGUGGUUAGAAUGUGUGGUGUAGCGGUGAAAUGCAUAGAUAUCACACAGAAUACCAAUUGCGAAGGCAGAUCACUAACAAUUAACUGACGCUCAGGGACGAAAGCGUGGGUAGCGAACAGGAUUAGAUACCCUGGUAGUCCACGCCGUAAACGAUGGAUACUAGCUGUAUGUCUACUUCAGGUAGAUGUGUGGCCAAGCGAAAGUGAUAAGUAUCCCACCUGGGGAGUACGAUCGCAAGAUUGAACCAAUGAUAG
Molecule: ribosomal RNA, 880 nt
Filed under: Flavobacterium sp. SCGC AAA298-O21
Lineage: Bacteria; Pseudomonadati; Bacteroidota; Flavobacteriia; Flavobacteriales; Flavobacteriaceae
Description: SSU rRNA
Rfam family: Bacterial small subunit ribosomal RNA
Source: RNAcentral